CACGAAAGAGGGUUGAUGCUCCUGCUCCUGGCUUUCUGGGUGAAAACCCUAUUUAGUCUCACACUUAAGUCUUCUUGUCAACAUGUUUGAAAUUAUCGUUUGCUGAUUGCUGAUGAUCUGGAAUACCGAUGAACAUGAGGCUAUGCAAGCGCUUGCCAUAACAUCUCGCCCACAAUUCAAAGUGCAUGCAAUUCCUUUUCUCCAUCCCCUUAUCUUAAAAGUUACCAACGAAUAAUGAUGUUCUGCUUUUCCUGUUUUGUUUUUCUUGUUCAAAUAGCAGAUGACAAGCUUCUACUUAAUCUUAUCAAGUCAAACCAUUUGCAUUUUUAGUCUCAUCAUCCACACUUUAUAACUUCUACGAUUCCCUGUAAUCUCCGCCCUCAGAUAAUCUUUCGAGUUGCUAUUCUAUUCUACUGCCAAUACUUGUGCGUUUUAUAAUUUUUAAUUAAAUCAUCUUCAUUCUUGCUAUGACAUUACCACUCCCUUGUAGAUUUGGCCUUCUACAUUUUAUUCCUUGGUGGUCAAAACAUCGUGGCAACUUUCAGAAGCUAUUUCCACAUUCAUAGAAGAGGUUCAUAUAUGAGGACUGGUUCAAGCCCCGUAUUGCUGCGAAGUUGAAGUUGCCCGUCUUUUGGGAUGAUCAAUGCCUCCAAGCACCUCCAAAAGAUGAACUUUGAAACCAACACAUUCCUGUGCGCAUUGCAAACAUAUCAGAUGAAAAAUAAAAGCAAUUGUUCAAGUCCGUUCUUUCCCCACAGCCUAAUUCUCCAACUGUAUGAAAAGGAACAUUGAUCUCCAACAAUACUUUGGUUUUCAGAUGACAGUGUCACCCUUUCCUCUGUCAUCGAAGUUCGUCGUUCAGCUUCUCUUUCUGCUACCAAAACAUGGAACUCCGACCCAAGCAUCUCAUCUACUGCAAGAUUCAGCGUGCUGCUCAAAUUAAUGGUCUCCAAUAUAGAGUUAAAUUAAAGCCAGACAGGGAUGGCAUUUGUAUUGGAUUUGGUGUGCUGUUGCUCAGUAUUGUUUAGUGGGGCCUCUGAAAUAUUGUCCCUGGCAUCCACAUGUUCACCAACCCAGACGGCCCCAUUACAGUCAAGUAUCAGGUCGCCUCCGUAGUGUUCCAAAUUUUCUGGAAAUGAUGUUUCUGUUUUUUCCCUAGAUAGCUAGGGACUGUGAGCAACUGGCCCAUCUCAAGCUGUAAUGCAUAAAAAUAUCACUGUUAACGAUAAUAAUAGCAUUAAACGAACACCUUCUGACAUACCAUGCAGACAGACAGACAGACAGACAGAGGGGGGACACCUACAGUCCGGUCAGCUGACCAGACGGAUCAGAUGCUGUCCAGGCAAGUCUGCUGGGCCAUAGCACAAACAGGCAAGACCAGACAGUUGUCAGAUCAAGUCCGUUGGGCCGUCGCCUAACAACCAAGACCAUUCGGCUUGUCCCAACCAGAUAGCUA
Molecule: long non-coding RNA, 1456 nt
Organism: Populus euphratica (Euphrates poplar)
Lineage: Eukaryota; Viridiplantae; Streptophyta; Magnoliopsida; Malpighiales; Salicaceae
Exons: 3
Source: RefSeq, a predicted model, not a curated record